AUACGGAGGAUCCGAGCGUUAUCCGGAUUUAUUGGGUUUAAAGGGUGCGCAGGCGGGAGAUUAAGUCGGCGGUGAAAUUUUGCAGCUCAACUGUAAAAGUGCCUUCGAAACUGGUUUCCUUGAGUGUAGAUGAAGUAGGCGGAAUUUGUGGUGUAGCGGUGAAAUGCAUAGAUAUCACGAGGAACUCCGAUUGCGCAGGCAGCUUACUAAACUACUACUGACGCUCAGGCACGAAGGCGUGGGGAUCAAACAGGAUUAGAUACCCUGGUAGUCCACGCAGUAAACGAUGAUUACUAGCUGUUUGCGAUACAAUGUAAGCGGCUGAGCGAAAGCGUUAAGUAAUCCACCUGGGGAGUACGGCCGCAAGGUUGAAACUCAAAGGAAUUGGCGG
Molecule: ribosomal RNA, 391 nt
Filed under: uncultured bacterium
Lineage: Bacteria
Description: partial 16S ribosomal RNA
Rfam family: Bacterial small subunit ribosomal RNA
Source: RNAcentral